UGCCCCGGGGCCGUGGGCGGGGCUCCUUGCGCAGGCGCAGCGCUUCCCCUCUUGCCAUAAUGCGGCGGCGGCGGCGACGGGCGGGGGAGGCCGAGUCGCUCCUCAAUGGCGCCCAAGCAAGACCCGAAGCCUAAAUUCCAAGAGGGUGAGCGGGUGCUGUGCUUCCACGGGCCUCUCCUGUACGAAGCCAAGUGCGUCAAGGUGGCCAUCAAGGACAAGCAGGUGAAGUACUUCAUCCACUACAGCGGCUGGAACAAGAACUGGGAUGAAUGGGUUCCAGAAAGCAGAGUCCUCAAAUACGUCGACACCAAUCUGCAGAAGCAGAAAGAACUUCAAAAGGCCAAUCAGGAACAGUAUGCAGAAGGAAAGAUGAGAGGGGCUGCUCCAGGCAAGAAAACGUCUGGACUCCAGCAGAAAAAUGUUGAAGUAUUCUUCAGGCGAGACGGAGCACACACCGUUUGCAGUUUGGAAACACCUGCAAUAUCGACACGGAAGACCAAAAAGAACAAACAGAAAACUCCAGGAAUUGGCGAGGGAAGCAGCUCCAGUGAAAAUCCUCAGCCUCCCAGGAAGAAAAGAGCUCGAGUAGACCCUACGGUGGAAAGUGAAGAAACUUUUAUGAACAGAGUUGAAGUAAAGGUAAAAAUACCAGAAGAGCUGAAGCCGUGGCUUGUAGAUGACUGGGAUUUGAUUACACGCCAAAAGCAGCUCUUCUACCUUCCGGCUAAGAAGAAUGUUGACUCAAUUUUAGAGGACUAUGCAAACUACAAGAAGUCCCGAGGAAACACAGAUAACAAGCUGUGCAUCAGAGAAUAUGCUGUGAAUGAAGUUGUGGCAGGCAUCAAAGAAUACUUCAACGUAAUGCUGGGGACCCAACUGUUGUAUAAAUUUGAGCGGCCACAGUAUGCAGAAAUCUUAGCGGAUCAUCCAGACGCACCCAUGUCCCAAGUCUAUGGAGCGCCGCACCUCCUCCGGUUGUUUGUCAGGAUUGGAGCAAUGCUUGCUUACACACCUCUUGAUGAGAAGAGCUUGGCCUUGCUGUUGAACUAUUUGCACGACUUUCUAAACACCAUCCUUUGUUAUGGAAAGUUGUAUGUUGCCACUGCAGCAGCAUCAUGUUGAAGGGCUUGAAACGGUCUCCACGCCCCAUUUCCCCUGCUCCAGAGAGAUCAUUGGCAGAAGCAAAAGCAGGAGGAGGGAUAGUGAUGUGGGUACAGCAGUGGCCCAGGUAUUUAGCCAAGAAUUCUUCAGCACUGUUCAGUGCAAGCGACUAUGAGGUGGCACCUCCAGAAUAUCACCGGAAAGCUGUGUGAGCCACGUGCUAUAACAGCACAUAGGAGAUGGCAGAUUACCAGGAAAGAUCCUUUGGUCUCUGCAGCUGCCCACUAAGUUCCACGUUUGUCCACAGUCCCUUCCUUGCACAUGCAUCUCUGCACAAAUGGCAAAAGUGUUUGUGUCGUCAGUUGGAACUGCCACCAUCUGAGUCCCAAGGGUGUUCCUUCAGUCCUGAAGGAAGGAAGACCGGCUCCUGGGAUACUUUACUGCAGCGGUUUGAUGUUGGAAUGUCGCUGGAAAUGCACGGUGGUUUCAUAGUCCGAACUCCUGCAUGCUUCUUGGUCCAUUUUCUUUGGAGCAAAGCCUUACCUGCUGCUGACGGUUUGAUGCCGUGUUGUCAACCUUUCCCACAAACAAACUGGCUGCCAGUAUUGGAGGGAGGGGGAUCAAGCACAGAUGGGGGGGGAGGGAAUGGUCCUUGUGUGCUUUCUUGGUGUUGGGAGGGUAAAAUGUUGUGAACGUGUCUGUUCUUUGCAUAGCUGAAGAAUUGUGGGAUUAGUAGGUGGGGUUGAAUGCACCUUCUAGCAUAGGAGGAAUUUGCCAAGGUCCCCCCAGGUGUGGUGAUAUGGUAUUCUCUGCAGGAGAUAAGUAUAAGUCUCCAAAUAAAAUUUUCUACUUCAGCUGUUAAAGGCUUAAGUCUAUUUGUACUUUUUUGCAAAACCACUUUGAUCUUUAAAUGUUGAAGGGUAACUGAUUCUUGCCAAAGUUCAAUGCUAAAGAAUUUGAUCAUUGUUGCUGCCAAAUGCAAAUUCUGAACUGUAGUGGGGCAGACAUGGCUGGCAUUCAUUCUGCAGCAGCAACGCUUUAAGGCCAAGUGUCCAAUAAUCCAACGACCAGGUCCAGGCCAGGGAAACCAAGUCAAAAGAAUAGGUUGGAGUUCCUCUCGCCCACUCCAAUUCCCAUUGUAUUCGACUGAUAAUGAUGGGAUUCCAAAGCUACGUUGUACACCCCAUAUUCUAAUAUCCCACCCCCAGCACAGAGCAGAGAGAUUGGAGAGGAAGAGAUUUCAAGAGUAAGCUGUUUGCUCUACUACACUUCAGAGCAACACAGUUGUGCUGGCAGUGUGGAAAGGCGAAACAAAGGGGAGAUCUACAGAAAUUGCUUUGGUCCCUGUCUCCCCCCCCCCCCCCGGCCCCCAACAAAGAUUGGAGAGGAGGAGAUUGUAAGUACUGUAAGCAAGGAGUCCCCAAUCUCAGUCUUGGUUCCAAGCCAGUCCCCCUCGUCACUUCUCAUGCUGGUCUUCUCAGCUCUGGUCUGUCUUCCGGGCUACUGUUCUCCCAAUCAAGCAACUUUCUCCACUGGCCCAGCUGGUCUUCCAGGCCAAGUCCUUUCCACCUUCUUUUAACCAUAAAACUAUGAAAGUUCCAUCAUUCAUCACAAAAUGUAUAUUUAAGCUACAAUCCCUCUUCCAAAACUCCAACCUUGCAUGUGUGAACUGUUUGUCCCCUCUAAUACAAUCUCAGAGUAAAUCUUA
This is an RNA transcript of Ahaetulla prasina, 2809 nucleotides long. It is a transcript of the gene named mortality factor 4 like 1, with no coding region annotated. The record is from RefSeq and is a predicted model, not a curated record. The transcript has 14 exons. Lineage: Eukaryota; Metazoa; Chordata; Lepidosauria; Squamata; Colubridae.